This 468-nucleotide ribosomal RNA is filed under the name uncultured bacterium. RNAcentral describes it as "partial 16S ribosomal RNA". It matches the Rfam family "Bacterial small subunit ribosomal RNA", at positions 28 to 507 of the family's 1533-position model. The record is from RNAcentral.
GACGAACGCUGGCGGCGUGCUUAACACAUGCAAGUCGAACGGAAAGGCCCUGCUUUUGUGGGGUGCUCGAGUGGCGAAUGGGUGAGUAACACGUGAGUAACCUGCCCUUGACUUUGGGAUAACUUCAGGAAACUGGGGCUAAUACCGGAUAGGAGCUCCUGCUGCAUGGUGGGGGUUGGAAAGUUUCGGCGGUUGGGGAUGGACUCGCGGCUUAUCAGCUUGUUGGUGGGGUAGUGGCUUACCAAGGCUUUGACGGGUAGCCGGCCUGAGAGGGUGACCGGCCACAUUGGGACUGAGAUACGGCCCAGACUCCUACGGGAGGCAGCAGUGGGGAAUAUUGCACAAUGGGCGGAAGCCUGAUGCAGCAACGCCGCGUGCGGGAUGACGGCCUUCGGGUUGUAAACCGCUUUCGCCUGUGACGAAGCGUGAGUGACGGUAAUGAGUAAAGAAGCACCGGCUAACUACGUG